This 765-nucleotide ribosomal RNA is filed under the name uncultured Streptococcus sp. RNAcentral describes it as "bacterial SSU rRNA". It matches the Rfam family "Bacterial small subunit ribosomal RNA", at positions 28 to 776 of the family's 1533-position model. The record is from RNAcentral. Lineage: Bacteria; Bacillati; Bacillota; Bacilli; Lactobacillales; Streptococcaceae.
GACGAACGCUGGCGGCGUGCCUAAUACAUGCAAGUAGAACGCUGAAGAGAGGAGCUUGCUCUUCUUGGAUGAGUUGCGAACGGGUGAGUAACGCGUAGGUAACCUGCCUGGUAGCGGGGGAUAACUAUUGGAAACGAUAGCUAAUACCGCAUGAAAUUGCUUAUCGCAUGAUAAUUAAUUGAAAGAUGCAAUUGCAUCACUACCAGAUGGACCUGCGUUGUAUUAGCUAGUUGGUGAGGUAACGGCUCACCAAGGCGACGAUACAUAGCCGACCUGAGAGGGUGAUCGGCCACACUGGGACUGAGACACGGCCCAGACUCCUACGGGAGGCAGCAGUAGGGAAUCUUCGGCAAUGGGGGGAACCCUGACCGAGCAACGCCGCGUGAGUGAAGAAGGUUUUCGGAUCGUAAAGCUCUGUUGUAAGAGAAGAACGGGUGUGAGAGUGGAAAGUUCACACUGUGACGGUAUCGUACCAGAAAGGGACGGCUAACUACGUGCCAGCAGCCGCGGUAAUACGUAGGUCCCGAGCGUUGUCCGGAUUUAUUGGGCGUAAAGCGAGCGCAGGCGGUUAGAUAAGUCUGAAGUUAAAGGCUGUGGCUUAACCAUAGUAUGCUUUGGAAACUGUUUAACUUGAGUGCAGAAGGGGAGAGUGGAAUUCCAUGUGUAGCGGUGAAAUGCGUAGAUAUAUGGAGGAACACCGGUGGCGAAAGCGGCUCUCUGGUCUGUAACUGACGCUGAGGCUCGAAAGCGUGGGGAGCAAACAGG